CUAAAUAAAAAUGGUUUUUUUUACACAUAGUUUAAUAAAGAUUACAGUUCUGAUUAUUACAAUUUGGGUUAUGCCUUCUACUUCUAAUAAGCAUGUAGAAGCAGCAAUAGCAAGAUGUACAAAAAUGCAUGUGAAGCUAUGUGGAUAUACUAGUA
Long non-coding RNA from Diuraphis noxia (Russian wheat aphid), 155 nucleotides. NCBI's taxonomy places the organism in Eukaryota, Metazoa, Arthropoda, Insecta, Hemiptera, Aphididae. The record is from RefSeq and is a predicted model, not a curated record.